Molecule: long non-coding RNA, 1045 nt
Organism: Xenopus tropicalis (tropical clawed frog)
Lineage: Eukaryota; Metazoa; Chordata; Amphibia; Anura; Pipidae
Exons: 3
Source: RefSeq, a predicted model, not a curated record
AUAGCCACUAGAGGAAAGGAAGUAUUAGUACAGAGGAUAGCCACUAGAAUGAAGUAGUACUGAGGAGAGAUUGGAAAGAGAGUAGCAGUGGUGAGAGUUACCACACAGUAUAUUAGCAGCCAAUCAAAGGGAACAGACAUGGAGGAGGAAGUUGUUAACUGUUGGGGAGGGAAAACUAGCCAUAGCAGGAAUAGGAGACUCAGCCUAUGGCUGUGCCCAUCCUAGAGGUACUUUUUUCUGGCACCUGAGUUUUUGAUCCAUGCUGUGUGUUUACUGGCAAGACAGUUGUUACCGAAAGGGUUUUAAAACUGUGCAAGCUGUAAGAUUUUAUACUGUUUUUGUUGUACAGAUUUUAUAUGCUGGACCUGAUCAUUGCCAUGGCACCGUAUGCAGAUGAACCCUCCAUGACUAAGAUCUAUCACACUAUUUUGCCAUAUCUUGAGGCUCUAAACAGACGGUGAACCUCAACAAGCAGUAUUUGUAUUUGGGCAGUUAUAAUAAAGCUUUAUUGUGUAUUUCACAGGAUAAAAAUCACAGUUUGCAGAAGAAAGCCUAUAGAGUUUUGGAGGAAAUAUGUGCAGGGGAACAGCCACCAUGCAAAGAAUUUGUAAACAACAAUCUGGAAGAAUUACAGAAAACACUCCUGACUUCCCUGAAAAGCACUUCAUCCUUUCAUCCCCUGGUAAACGGUAUGGAAGACAUUUUGGCUGAUUCUGAUGAAGUAGAGGAAGAGGAAGAGAAACCAACCAAACAACGAAAGAAACGGGCCCGGCAGAAGAGCCAGGCUUGGCUUAAAGAAGGGGAGGAAGAUGACCCAGUAAAUUUCCUUGAUCCCAAAGCUGCACAGCGUGUACUGGGCUGCCGUAUUGAUCCAGCUCAUCCUCAAGGCUUCCCCCACUCAGGAAUUCCAUGACAUAAAAGGCGUGCCGCUGGUUACACAGACAAUUGCAAAGUGUCAAGAGAAGGAAGAAAUGGCACAAGACUUACAACGUAGGGUGGUACUUAUUUUUAUGAAUUACAUAAUGGUGCAAAUAAAUGUAAAGCC